Molecule: transfer-messenger RNA, 376 nt
Filed under: Burkholderiaceae
Lineage: Bacteria; Pseudomonadati; Pseudomonadota; Betaproteobacteria; Burkholderiales
Description: Caballeronia brachyanthoides Standard tmRNA
Rfam family: transfer-messenger RNA
About the family: Bacterial tmRNA, also known as 10Sa RNA or SsrA, is named for its dual tRNA and mRNA-like properties. Its role is to liberate the mRNA from a stalled ribosome.
Source: RNAcentral
GGGGCUGACCUGGUUUCGACGUGGGUAUAGAGUCAAGAAGGGCAUGCCGAGCACUCCAGUUUGCUCGUUUAAUCUGUCUGGAAAACAUUUAAGCGCAAACGAUUCUUCGUACGCUCUCGCUGCUUAAUCGCGGCGAGCCGCUCACCGGCAGGCCAAUGGUCCGGGUUGAAGGCUGAAAGGCUAGAGACAGAGCGGUCAUUUACAUUGGCUGGUUCAGGGCCGGGUCACUCGGCUCUGGACGAGAUUAAGUGACUGGCGGUUACCGUAGCCUGCUGCUGGGCGACGGUAAUGGCGAGACUCAAAUCAGACAGCUACGCAUGUAGAACUGCUUGGCAAAGUCUUGCGGACGGGGGUUCGAUUCCCCCCAGCUCCACCA